AAACCGUUCGGGGGUAAACGGACAGAGCCCGUGAAUCCGGGCGACGGAAUUCAGAGUCGACCGGCGUUCGCGCGUCGUCGGCUCGAUAUUUCCGCCGCCGCCAACGUUGAGUUUUCACGAAUUCAACGACGGACGUCGCGACCCGUUCGGCGUCAAGGUCCGCAGGAGACGCGCGAAAGUUCGUGUGCGUCGGUCGGGUUUCGGCUCGGUCGGCGUUUCGCGAGUGCGCGUUUACAAGUUUUCUGGCCGACUAUGCCGGACGGUAGACGAAGCGGUGGGCGCGGCGGCCUUGCUUUCAGCGAGCGUCGUCGCGUGACCGGUCCGCGACGAAUCUUCGGGCCUCUUUCCGA
This 350-nucleotide ribosomal RNA is filed under the name Dysmicoccus boninsis. RNAcentral's name for it is "partial 28S large subunit ribosomal RNA". Lineage: Eukaryota; Metazoa; Arthropoda; Insecta; Hemiptera; Pseudococcidae. The record is from RNAcentral.